Ictidomys tridecemlineatus (thirteen-lined ground squirrel) is the source of this 72-nucleotide non-coding RNA. The record is from Rfam. Lineage: Eukaryota; Metazoa; Chordata; Mammalia; Rodentia; Sciuridae.
AGGGUUGUGGCUCAGUGGUAGAGCCCUUGCCUGGCAUGUGUGAGGGCCUGGAUUCGAUCCUCAGCAACACAU